RNAcentral lists this ribosomal RNA (251 nucleotides) under uncultured bacterium. RNAcentral describes it as "partial 16S ribosomal RNA". It matches the Rfam family "Bacterial small subunit ribosomal RNA", at positions 95 to 334 of the family's 1533-position model. The record is from RNAcentral.
UUGGCGAACGGGUGAGUAACACGUAAGUAACCUGCCCUUCAUCUUCUGGAUAACUCGCGGAAACGUGGGCUAAUACGGGAUAUUCUUUUCCUGCUGCAUGGUGGGGUUUGGAAAGGCCUCCUUUUUGGGGGUUGGUGGGGGAUGGGCUUGCGGCCUAUCAGUUUGUUGGUGGGGUGAUGGCCUACCAAGGCGUGGACGGGUAACCGGCCUGAGAGGGUGUUCGGUCACACUGGGACUGAGAUACGGCCCAG